GUUCAGAGUCUCACAUGAAUUCCUGGAUCAGCAUUGUCAUCCCAGCCCUAGUAUUGGUAGUCCUGAUUACAGUAUGUGCCUAUCUACAAAUCAGAUGGAAAAUCCUUAACAAAAUAAAAGGCAUCGACAGAAGAAGAAGAAACAUACCACCACGACCAAACCAUAGAGGGGACAGAAGUCUAGAGAAGGGAUGUGUACUUCUCCAGAAGGUUUGCCUUUCAGGUCAAGAAACACAGACAAGGACACAGGAGGCCUUGCCUACUACAACCACACAAGACCAUGUAGCAGUGAUGCUGGCCAGAGUCUACACACCACAGGAGGGCAGCUGAGAGCAGCCCAGACAGCAGCAGCCCAACAAUAUGGACCAAAGACAUUUCCCCUGCACUGCUGGAAGACUGAGCACAGAUGUCCUCUAUGCGUGUGUUUCUGCAUAAGUGUCCAUGCUUCCCAUUGAUGGCAUAUUCUGGUGGCAAACUCUGCCUCAGAUUUCUAGGAGAAAUGUCCUUAUUUCUGUCUUUACUGACAUCUUGGAUGGUAUUCAGCCCUUUAUCCUCGUUCCCCUCUCUCCUACCAGAACUCUAUCCUCUGAAUGCUGAUCCCUCAUAUGGGAGCUUUCACUUUUUCUUGUCCACAAACAGAC
Long non-coding RNA from Vombatus ursinus (common wombat), 640 nucleotides. RefSeq lists it as uncharacterized. The transcript has 3 exons. The record is from RefSeq and is a predicted model, not a curated record. Lineage: Eukaryota; Metazoa; Chordata; Mammalia; Diprotodontia; Vombatidae.